RNAcentral lists this ribosomal RNA (780 nucleotides) under Neocallimastix frontalis. RNAcentral describes it as "partial large subunit ribosomal RNA". It matches the Rfam family "Eukaryotic large subunit ribosomal RNA", at positions 38 to 667 of the family's 3401-position model. The record is from RNAcentral. Lineage: Eukaryota; Fungi; Neocallimastigomycota; Neocallimastigomycetes; Neocallimastigales; Neocallimastigaceae.
GCAUAUCAAUAAGCGGAGGAAAAGAAACUAACAAGGAUUCCCUUAGUAACGGCGAGUGAAGCGGGAAGAGCUCAAAUUUGAAAUCUUCAAGGUUCUACCUUGACGAAUUGUAGUUUAAAGAAGUGUUUUCUGUUAGAUGAGUAGCAAAAGUUCCUUGGAAUGGGACAUCAUAGAGGGUGAGAAUCCCGUAUUUGGUUAUUCAUUCUAGCUUUGUGAUACACUUUCAAAGAGUCGGAUUGUUUGGGAAUGCAGUCCAAAAUGGGUGGUAAAUUUCAUCUAAAGCUAAAUAUUGGCGAGAGACCGAUAGCGAACAAGUACCGUGAGGGAAGGAUGAAAAGAACUUUGAAAAGAGAGUUAAACAGUACGUGAAAUUGUCAAAAGGGAAGCGUUUGACACCAGUGUUGUUUUUCCGAAAAUCAAUUACGAAUGGCUUGAUUUUGUGUUGUAUUGACCUUAUCAGCUUUCUGCACUUUUUUCGAGUCUUUCUUAAUGCACUUUUCGGUUAACAAGUCAACAUCAAUUUCUUUUGUUGUAAAAGAGUAUUCGGAAGGUGGCUUUCUUUUCGGAGAAAGUGUUUAUAGCCCUAUACUUCUACAAUCGGAGAGAUUGAGGUCUGCAGCGUAGAUCCUUCGGGGUUAGAUACACUUGUGCUAAGUUGUAGCUUUUCAUAGACAACUUGUUGACUAUGUUUAGUCAUGCGGCUUACUCGCUUGUGCUAUUUUACCUACGCUUAGGAUGUUGACAAAAUGGUUUUAAACGACCCGUCUUGAAACACGGACC